UGGGAAUGGAAACAAAGCAUCCUGAAACACUAAAGCCAAAUAACAUGACGAUGAUGAUAAGAUAAUAGAAAGGCCAAUGGCAUUGCAAACGUUGCCACUAACAGUAACCCCAACACCACCACCUUCAUUUCCUUCUUCAUCUUCUUCAUCUUUAUCUUAUCUUCACACCUUCCACCACCACAACUCACAAACACUCUUUCUCAAUGGACCACCAUCACUCUCAACUCUCCACCACCGCAGAACAAUCUCAACCUUCCUUCCCUCGGUAGGAAGAAACGAACACAAUGAUUUGAGUGUCUCUUCCUCUCAGCAAGAACAGCUACAAGAUGUUGUUGAUGAUAAUGAUGAUGAUGAUGAUGAUUAUGAUUAUGAUGAACCAACCCCUCAGGACCUUGAAUAU
This 400-nucleotide long non-coding RNA is filed under the name Lupinus angustifolius (narrow-leaved blue lupine). RNAcentral's name for it is "long non-coding RNA (LANG_LNC001860)". Lineage: Eukaryota; Viridiplantae; Streptophyta; Magnoliopsida; Fabales; Fabaceae. The record is from RNAcentral.